CCCAAACACAGCAUUCCCAGCACCAUGAGAGAUGCCGCAGCAUUGGCAUGGUUCCUUCCUGAAGAAUUUGCAAAAUAUCCUUUUUCUUUUUUUUUUUUUUUCUGCAGCAAAAUCAAAGCCAGGCUCAGGCUCAAAUGAUUAAAGGUUAACUAAGACUUCAAACAAUCUCACGCAAUGGGUCCCUCUCCCAGGAAUGACGGGACAUAAACUGGGCUUGGCUUUAAUAUCUGCCUUUAAUUAGGGCCGUGUCAGAGGGCCACGAGCAGGAAAAGAGCCUCUGGCACAGAUGGGAGAUGUGUUCUGGAAAUUCUUCCAAAAGAAAAAUAUUGCUGCACCUGUUCGGGGCAAAAUCCUGCCCCGGGGAAAGCAUCCCGAGUUCGGGGUGAAGGGGAAUUGGAGCUGCUUUAAACCAAGGUUCCCUGAAAUGCACCGUGGUUCUGUUCUCUGGAAAACAAGCUCAGGGUGUUCCAGGGGCCCUGAGGUCGGAUUCUGCUGGAGGAAUUGGCCUCUGGAAACCAAGAGCAGCCACGGGAGGAACACAAACCCCGCACUGGGAACCAGCAGCUGCUCCAGGCACCACCUCCUCUCACCGCUCCUCUCCCUCGCUGCAGCCCAGUCCCAGCAGCAUUUUAAUUAAAAGAGGUGGCUCCGUGCACCUUUUUCCUAUUGAUCUGCAGUCAACAAGAGCCCAUAAACCAAGAAAUUAAAGCCAUAAUUUACAGCCCUUGGCCGGGCCGCCUGCGAGCUCUGGUUGCCACAUUGCACACGACGGUUUCCUGCCUCUGCCAGGACAUAAACUCGAUACAACAGCUCCAAAAAGGAAAAAAAAAAACCACCCCUAACCCCCCCAGCCUUCCAAGGCUUCCUGCAGGAGCCAGCUCCGAGGAUGGUUUUCAGCUCCCUGUGUCUGAUGUGCGGCCAAGCCGUGGUUCCAAUCAGAGCAGAGCUGGAGAUGAAAGGGCAGCCCUGGUUCUCCUGGCCCGAGCCAGGUGUGCAGCUGGCACCCCGAGCCUCCCGGGGCACUGCUCCAGUGCAGACAUGUUAAAGCAAUAAAAGCAAAAUGAGGAACA
RNAcentral lists this long non-coding RNA (1070 nucleotides) under Serinus canaria (Common canary). RNAcentral's name for it is "lncRNA (ENSSCAG00000012154.1)". Lineage: Eukaryota; Metazoa; Chordata; Aves; Passeriformes; Fringillidae. The record is from RNAcentral.